UACGUAGGGUGCGAGCGUUGUCCGGAAUUAUUGGGCGUAAAGAGCUCGUAGGCGGUUUGUCGCGUCUGCUGUGAAAACUGGAGGCUCAACCUCCAGCCUGCAGUGGGUACGGGCAGACUAGAGUUCGGUAGGGGAGACUGGAAUUCCUGGUGUAGCGGUGAAAUGCGCAGAUAUCAGGAGGAACACCGAUGGCGAAGGCAGGUCUCUGGGCCGAUACUGACGCUGAGGAGCGAAAGCGUGGGGAGCGAACAGG
Molecule: ribosomal RNA, 253 nt
Filed under: uncultured bacterium
Lineage: Bacteria
Description: partial 16S ribosomal RNA
Rfam family: Bacterial small subunit ribosomal RNA
Source: RNAcentral